This 479-nucleotide ribosomal RNA is filed under the name uncultured bacterium. Its description in RNAcentral is "bacterial SSU rRNA". It matches the Rfam family "Bacterial small subunit ribosomal RNA", at positions 364 to 833 of the family's 1533-position model. The record is from RNAcentral.
UUUCGCAAUGCCCGAAAGGGUGACGAAGCGACGCCGCGUGUGGGAAGAAGGCCUUCGGGUUGUAAACCACUGUCGGGAGUUAGGAAAUGUAAGGGUGCUAAUAGUAUCCUUACUUGACUAAGGCUCCGGAGGAAGCCACGGCUAACUCUGUGCCAGCAGCCGCGGUAAUACAGAGGCGGCAAGCGUUGUUCGGAAUUAUUGGGCGUAAAGAGCACGUAGGCGGCCUUGUAAGUCAGUUGUGAAAGCCUUCUGCUUAACGGAAGAACAGCAGCUGAUACUGCAAGGCUAGAGUACGGAAGGGGAGAGUGGAACUUCUGGUGGAGCGGUGAAAUGCGUAGAUAUCAGAAGGAACGCCGGCGGCGAAGGCGACUCUCUGGUCCGUAACUGACGCUGAGUGUGCGAAAGCUAGGGGAGCAAACGGGAUUAGAUACCCCGGUAGUCCUAGCCGUAAACGAUGGGCACUAAGUAGAGGGGUUUUA